UACAGAGGUCUCAAGCGUUGUUCGGAUUCAUUGGGCGUAAAGGGUGCGUAGGUGGCGCCGUAAGUCGGGUGUGAAAUUUCGGAGCUUAACUCCGAAACUGCAUUCGAUACUGCGGUGCUUGAGGACUGGAGAGGAGACUGGAAUUUACGGUGUAGCGGUGAAAUGCGUAGAUAUCGUAAGGAAGACCAGCGGCGAAGGCGGCAUCCUGGCCCUGUCCUGACGCUGAGGCGCGAGAGCGUGGGGAGCAAACCGG
This 253-nucleotide ribosomal RNA is filed under the name uncultured bacterium. RNAcentral describes it as "partial 16S ribosomal RNA". It matches the Rfam family "Bacterial small subunit ribosomal RNA", at positions 524 to 776 of the family's 1533-position model. The record is from RNAcentral.